GGACGAACGCUGGCGGCGUGCUUAACACAUGCAAGUCGAACGGUGAAGGGAAGCUUGCUUCCCGGAUCAGUGGCGAACGGGUGAGUAACACGUGGGCAAUCUGCCCCAGACUUUGGGAUAACUACUCGAAAGAGUAGCUAAUACCGAAUAUUCAGCCUUGCAGGCAUCUGCGAGGCUGGAAAGUUUCUCGGUCUGGGAUGAGCCCGCGGCCUAUCAGCUAGUUGGUGAGGUAAUGGGCUCACCCAAGGCGACGACGGGUAGCCGGCCUGAGAGGGCGACCGGCCACACUGGGACUGAGACACGGCCCAGACUCCUACGGGAGGCAGCAGUGGGGAAUAUUGCGCAAUGGGCGAAAGCCUGACGCAGCAACGCCGCGUGCGGGAUGAAGGCCUUCGGGUUGUAAACCGCUUUCAGCAGGGAAGAAGCGAAAGUGACGGUACCUGCAGAAGAAGCACCGGCUAACUACGUG
RNAcentral lists this ribosomal RNA (469 nucleotides) under uncultured bacterium. Its description in RNAcentral is "bacterial SSU rRNA". It matches the Rfam family "Bacterial small subunit ribosomal RNA", at positions 27 to 507 of the family's 1533-position model. The record is from RNAcentral.